Long non-coding RNA from Carassius gibelio (silver crucian carp), 393 nucleotides. RefSeq lists it as uncharacterized. The transcript is spliced from 3 exons. The record is from RefSeq and is a predicted model, not a curated record. NCBI's taxonomy places the organism in Eukaryota, Metazoa, Chordata, Actinopteri, Cypriniformes, Cyprinidae.
AGAUAUUGCAGAUCUGGAGAAAAAUGCAGCACUGCUAAUCUUACCAUCUUUAUUCACAGAAAACAUCAAGUUUCUCUUCUGUCUGGACAAUUUGAAGAAAUGAAGAAACGUUUGACCCGGAAUAGGAUAAGUACACUGUCUGGAGUCUGUUUUUCAUGAAAUGCAAGGUGUUUGAUGGCACUUUGCUCUAUUCAGCAGCUCUUUUUUUAGCAGGCUGGAGCUCAGAGAUGUUCGUCUGCUGGUGUGAAGAGUCGAACUGACUCACCGCUUCACCAGAAUAAGAGAAGGAGAGUCCCACCACUUCAGCUCUGAUUAACAGCACAUUAAGUGUGGGCCGGCGAGAGAAAAUGGCAUCCAGUGGGAAUUUCCAAGAUGGCUGCCGAGCCAACUGAC